This 484-nucleotide ribosomal RNA is filed under the name uncultured bacterium. RNAcentral's name for it is "partial 16S ribosomal RNA". It matches the Rfam family "Bacterial small subunit ribosomal RNA", at positions 29 to 507 of the family's 1533-position model. The record is from RNAcentral.
AUUGAACGCUGGCGGCAGGCCUAACACAUGCAGGUCGAGCGGAUGAAGGGAGCUUGCUCCUGGAUUCCGCGGCGGACGGGUGAGUAAUGCCUAUGAAUCUGCCUGGUAGUGGGGGAUAACGUCCGGAAACGGGCGCUACUACCGCAUACGUCCUGAGGGAGCAAGUGGGGGAUCUUCGGACCUCUCGCUCUCAGAUGAGCCUAGGUCGGAUUAGCUAGUUGGUGGGGUAAAGGCCUACCAAGGCGACGAUCCGUAACUGGUCUGCGAGGAUGAUCAGUCACACUGGAACGGGGACACGGACCAGACGACUGCGGGAGGGAGCAGUGGGGAAUAUGGGGCAAUAGGCGAGAGCAUGGUCCAGCCAGGCCGAGUGUGAGAAGGAAGUCUUCGGAGUGGAAAGCACGUUAAGUGGGGAGAAAGGGCAGUAAGUUAAUACCUUGCUGUAGUGACGGUAACAAGAGAAGAAGCACCGGCUAACUACGUG